RNAcentral lists this ribosomal RNA (464 nucleotides) under Vreelandella stevensii. Its description in RNAcentral is "partial 16S ribosomal RNA". It matches the Rfam family "Bacterial small subunit ribosomal RNA", at positions 338 to 795 of the family's 1533-position model. Lineage: Bacteria; Pseudomonadati; Pseudomonadota; Gammaproteobacteria; Oceanospirillales; Halomonadaceae. The record is from RNAcentral.
CCUACGGGUGGCAGCAGUGGGGAAUAUUGGACAAUGGGCGAAAGCCUGAUCCAGCCAUGCCGCGUGUGUGAAGAAGGCCUUCGGGUUGUAAAGCACUUUCAGUGGGGAAGAAAGCCUUGGGGCUAAUACCCUCGAGGAAGGACAUCACCCACAGAAGAAGCACCGGCUAACUCCGUGCCAGCAGCCGCGGUAAUACGGAGGGUGCGAGCGUUAAUCGGAAUUACUGGGCGUAAAGCGCGCGUAGGCGGUCUGAUAAGCCGGUUGUGAAAGCCCCGGGCUCAACCUGGGAACGGCAUCCGGAACUGUCAGGCUAGAGUGCAGGAGAGGAAGGUAGAAUUCCCGGUGUAGAGGUGAAAUGCGUAGAGAUCGGGAGGAAUACCAGUGGCGAAGGCGGCCUUCUGGACUGACACUGACGCUGAGGUGCGAAAGCGUGGGUAGCAAACAGGAUUAGAUACCCCGGAGUC